GUCAACCUACUCAUCCGCUCACCAGAGGUUCAACUUGGAUGAGUCGUUUAAAUGAGAUGAUUUUUUUCCAAUUCAACCCGGUCCAAAUCCGUGAUAGACUGAUUUGACCCGCAAAUUAUAACUCAUGUUCUAACAAAUAUCAACAAAAACUAUGAAAAAAAAAAGAGAAAAGAAAAAUAUUAGAUUCUAAAAUAAUUCUCAAAACUUAUAAAUAAAAUUACCAUUAUUCCAAAAGGAUCCAAAUAUUAAAA
This 251-nucleotide long non-coding RNA is filed under the name Vigna radiata. RNAcentral's name for it is "long non-coding RNA (VRAD_LNC005705)". Lineage: Eukaryota; Viridiplantae; Streptophyta; Magnoliopsida; Fabales; Fabaceae. The record is from RNAcentral.